This 1434-nucleotide ribosomal RNA is filed under the name Lactiplantibacillus plantarum. RNAcentral's name for it is "bacterial SSU rRNA". It matches the Rfam family "Bacterial small subunit ribosomal RNA". Lineage: Bacteria; Bacillati; Bacillota; Bacilli; Lactobacillales; Lactobacillaceae. The record is from RNAcentral.
UGCAAGUCGAACGAACUCUGGUAUUGAUUGGUGCUUGCAGUCAUGAUUUACAUUUGAGUGAGUGGCGAACUGGUGAGUAACACGUGGGAAACCUGCCCAGAAGCGGGGGAUAACACCUGGAAACAGAUGCUAAUACCGCAUAACAACUUGGACCGCAUGGUCCGAGCUUGAAAGAUGGCUUCGGCUAUCACUUUUGGAUGGUCCCGCGGCGUAUUAGCUAGAUGGUGGGGUAACGGCUCACCAUGGCAAUGAUACGUAGCCGACCUGAGAGGGUAAUCGGCCACAUUGGGACUGAGACACGGCCCAAACUCCUACGGGAGGCAGCAGUAGGGAAUCUUCCACAAUGGACGAAAGUCUGAUGGAGCAACGCCGCGUGAGUGAAGAAGGGUUUCGGCUCGUAAAACUCUGUUGUUAAAGAAGAACAUAUCUGAGAGUAACUGUUCAGGUAUUGACGGUAUUUAACCAGAAAGCCACGGCUAACUACGUGCCAGCAGCCGCGGUAAUACGUAGGUGGCAAGCGUUGUCCGGAUUUAUUGGGCGUAAAGCGAGCGCAGGCGGUUUUUUAAGUCUGAUGUGAAAGCCUUCGGCUCAACCGAAGAAGUGCAUCGGAAACUGGGAAACUUGAGUGCAGAAGAGGACAGUGGAACUCCAUGUGUAGCGGUGAAAUGCGUAGAUAUAUGGAAGAACACCAGUGGCGAAGGCGGCUGUCUGGUCUGUAACUGACGCUGAGGCUCGAAAGUAUGGGUAGCAAACAGGAUUAGAUACCCUGGUAGUCCAUACCGUAAACGAUGAAUGCUAAGUGUUGGAGGGUUUCCGCCCUUCAGUGCUGCAGCUAACGCAUUAAGCAUUCCGCCUGGGGAGUACGGCCGCAAGGCUGAAACUCAAAGGAAUUGACGGGGGCCCGCACAAGCGGUGGAGCAUGUGGUUUAAUUCGAAGCUACGCGAAGAACCUUACCAGGUCUUGACAUACUAUGCAAAUCUAAGAGAUUAGACGUUCCCUUCGGGGACAUGGAUACAGGUGGUGCAUGGUUGUCGUCAGCUCGUGUCGUGAGAUGUUGGGUUAAGUCCCGCAACGAGCGCAACCCUUAUUAUCAGUUGCCAGCAUUAAGUUGGGCACUCUGGUGAGACUGCCGGUGACAAACCGGAGGAAGGUGGGGAUGACGUCAAAUCAUCAUGCCCCUUAUGACCUGGGCUACACACGUGCUACAAUGGAUGGUACAACGAGUUGCGAACUCGCGAGAGUAAGCUAAUCUCUUAAAGCCAUUCUCAGUUCGGAUUGUAGGCUGCAACUCGCCUACAUGAAGUCGGAAUCGCUAGUAAUCGCGGAUCAGCAUGCCGCGGUGAAUACGUUCCCGGGCCUUGUACACACCGCCCGUCACACCAUGAGAGUUUGUAACACCCAAAGUCGGUGGGGUAACCUUUUAGGAACCAGCC